RNAcentral lists this transfer RNA (71 nucleotides) under Loxodonta africana (African savanna elephant). It matches the Rfam family "tRNA". Rfam says of the family: Transfer RNA (tRNA) molecules are approximately 80 nucleotides in length. Their secondary structure includes four short double-helical elements and three loops (D, anti-codon, and T loops). The record is from Rfam by way of RNAcentral. Lineage: Eukaryota; Metazoa; Chordata; Mammalia; Proboscidea; Elephantidae.
GCAGUGGUUGUUCAGUGGUAGAACUCUUGCUUUCUAUGUGGGAGACCUGGGUUCAAUUUCCAGCCAAUUCA